This 536-nucleotide long non-coding RNA is filed under the name Bos taurus (domestic cattle). RNAcentral's name for it is "long non-coding RNA NONBTAT001807". The record is from RNAcentral. Lineage: Eukaryota; Metazoa; Chordata; Mammalia; Artiodactyla; Bovidae.
GUAAGGGUUGAUAAUAACCUGAAAUUUUAAAAAGGGUUGGGGGGAGAGGCAUAGAGCAUUUGUUAAUAAAAAUGGAUAUUAAUAACAAUGUGAGUGAAUAGUUUACAAAACUUUGUUUACAUUACAAAUAGGUUUAUAUCAUGGCCUUUCUCACUAUAUUCAUUUAAAAUUCAAGUUACAAAUAUAUAAAGCAUUUAAAUCACCCAAAGCAUUUUAUUUUGUUCCAGAUAUACUUUAUGUAGUAAUCUCUGGUCUAUUAAUAAAAAGAAAACUCACCCCAAACCCUCUUUACAAGUAGAUUUUAAAAUUGUUAACACCAAAGACUGGCAGCCUUUUAAAAAAAUAUGGCCAAAAUUAGCCUUUGUAUCUAAAUUCUAUUCAUACUAUUUAGUCAGUGUUGAAUAGUCAAAACUAUUCAGUCAACAUUCCCACAUAAAGUGGAUAAAUAAUUGCUUUGUUCUUUAUCAUUUUAAAAGCUACCUAAAUAUCUGUGAAAGAAUGUAUCAGGUUACCUAUGGAUUUAGUCUAAUAUGAAG